RNAcentral lists this ribosomal RNA (465 nucleotides) under Vreelandella stevensii. RNAcentral's name for it is "partial 16S ribosomal RNA". It matches the Rfam family "Bacterial small subunit ribosomal RNA", at positions 338 to 795 of the family's 1533-position model. The record is from RNAcentral. Lineage: Bacteria; Pseudomonadati; Pseudomonadota; Gammaproteobacteria; Oceanospirillales; Halomonadaceae.
CCUACGGGUGGCUGCAGUGGGGAAUAUUGGACAAUGGGGGCAACCCUGAUCCAGCCAUGCCGCGUGUGUGAAGAAGGCCCUCGGGUUGUAAAGCACUUUCAGUGAGGAAGAACGCCUGGUGGUUAAUACCCAUCAGGAAAGACAUCACUCACAGAAGAAGCACCGGCUAACUCCGUGCCAGCAGCCGCGGUAAUACGGCGGGUGCGAGCGUUAAUCGGAAUUACUGGGCGUAAAGCGCGCGUAGGUGGCUUGAUAAGCCGGUUGUGAAAGCCCCGGGCUCAACCUGGGAACGGCAUCCGGAACUGUCAAGCUAGAGUGCAGGAGAGGAAGGUAGAAUUCCCGGUGUAGCGGUGAAAUGCGUAGAGAUCGGGAGGAAUACCAGUGGCGAAGGCGGCCUUCUGGACUGACACUGACACUGAGGUGCGAAAGCGUGGGUAGCAAACAGGAUUAGAUACCCGUGUAGUC